UGCGUAGCUCAGUUGGUUAGAGCGUGGGACUCAUAAGCCCGAGGUCGCUGGUUCAAUUCCAGCCGC
Molecule: transfer RNA, 66 nt
Filed under: marine eukaryotic metagenome
Rfam family: tRNA
About the family: Transfer RNA (tRNA) molecules are approximately 80 nucleotides in length. Their secondary structure includes four short double-helical elements and three loops (D, anti-codon, and T loops).
Source: RNAcentral